Molecule: ribosomal RNA, 507 nt
Filed under: uncultured bacterium
Lineage: Bacteria
Description: bacterial SSU rRNA
Rfam family: Bacterial small subunit ribosomal RNA
Source: RNAcentral
AGAGUUGAUUAUGGCUCAGGAUGAACGCUGGCGGCGUGCCUAACACAUGCAAGUCGAGCGGAAAUACCAAAUGUACUCGUACAGGCGGUAUUUAGCGGCGGACGGGUGAGUAACACGUGAGCAACCUGCCUUUUGCUGGGGAAUAACAUUGGGAAACCAGUGCUAAUACCGCAUGACGUCAUAGGGGGACAUCCCCUGGUGACCAAAGGAGAAAUCCGGCAGAAGAUGGGCUCGCGUCCGAUUAGUUAGUUGGCGGGGUAACGGCCCACCAAGACCGCGAUCGGUAGCCGAACUGAGAGGUUGAUCGGCCACAUUGGGACUGAGACACGGCCCAGACUCCUACGGGAGGCAGCAGUGGGGAAUAUUGGGCAAUGGGGGAAACCCUGAACCCCCAGCAACGCCGCGUGAAGGACGAAGGCCUUCGGGUUGUAAACUUCUUUGAUCAGGGACGAGAGCAAUGACGGUACCUGAAGAACAAGCCACGGCUAACUACGUGCCAGCAGCUGC